AAGCGCAGGAAGACUGCAUAGACUUAAAGGUAUGCUUCCAUAAAACUCGUUCGACUUUAAGCGAAGAACCAGCAACUUUGUUAGGCUCGGGCCUAUCCAUGUCGGUAUAUUUCCAGAUAGUUUAUUGGCACCGAGGUCAACAACUCUUAAUUCUGUACAGUUCACCAAAGAAGGCAAUUCUCCGGAACGUUUGUUGUCCUGUAAGUGUAAGAACAUAGCAUACUUUAAGAAGCCUAAUGAGCAUGGAAUUUUCCCGGAGAAAUUGUUCUUAGCCAUGUUCAAAAAGACCAAACCUUGAAACUGCAUCCAACAACUAGGAAGUUCACCAGAUAGCUGAUUGUGAGAAAGGUCUAGAUCAAAGAAGUUUGGAGAUUCUGUUUCACAAAAGGAAGAUAAGGGUCCUGAAAACAUGUUUUUGGAGAGACGCAGGAUGGAUACAUUUGAAGAAAAUGGUGGAAGUGGGCCGUCCAAGAGAUUAGAUGACAAGUCAAAAGAAAAGAAGGUGGAGUUUUUUGUUGAUAGAUUUGGCAACUUUCCAUGGAUUUGGUUCAUCGAUAGGUUUAAAUCGAGUAAGCUGGAAGACAGAUCCCAAAACUUAUCAGGUAUAGAAUCCGAAAUCUCAGCAUUAACCAUGUCAAGUGAAGUAAGUUUUGUCUGAGUUUGAAUCCAUUUCGGAAAAGCAGGGCCAACCUUGCAAGAGGACAAUCCUAGUCUUAUGGUUUGAAAAGGCGGAUUCCAAUCCGAGCUCAAGUUGAAAGACAAAGGAUUAUGAGAAAAAUCCAAAUAUUUUAAACGGGAGAGAUUGGAGAAGUGCACUUCAGUUAUGACACCAUUCAAAGAAUUCCGAGAAAGAUCCAACGUUUCGAGGCUGGAAAGUUGGCUGAUACUCUCAUGUAGAGAUCCGCUGAGUUGAUUGUUGGAGAUAAAUAACUGCCUUAACAACGAAAGACCUGUAAAAUCAGGCAGUGAUCCGGUGAACUGGUUUUGAACUAGGCUCAAGUAUCUUAGCUGGGAGAGUGGCUGAAAAUUUUUUGGAAGAGACCCACUUACGUUGGUGACGUCAAUGUACAAAUCUUUCAAGGAUGAAAAUCUUGUAAUGUUAUCAGGAAAUGAACCCGAAAACGGGUUCCCACUCAAGAACAAGGACUCGAGGGUGUCUUGAGCACAAGACAAGUUUAUGACAAAGUCUUCAAGUCUGUCGGAAAGUUUGUUUUCCAGUAAACUCAACCACCGUAAACUGCAAAGGUUUCGAAACGAUUUCGGUAUCCCGCCUUUAAGUUCGUUAACCGAGAGAUCAAGAGACACGAGAGAAACCGUGUUUGCAAACACAUCUGGGAUGGGACCUUGCAACUGGCUAUCAGCUAAACCAAUGUAAACAAGGUUGGUGCUGACAUUGACCAUCCAAUAAAAUAUCGAAACAUUAAGAAAAUUAUUCGAGAGUUCAAGGACUUCAAGAGAGUUUGAAGAAUUGACAAAAGAAAGCGAGCUCUGUUUGAUAUUGGGAAGACUACACGAAGAUAACUGAAGCUCAACAAGUGAACGGAGUUUGCUUAUAGAUUCUGGCCAAUUUACAACCUCGGAAAAAUUAAGAUCCGACAUAUACAGGUACCUCAAGGAAGAAAGAUGAGAUAACCACUUGAGAUUUUCGAAUGUGACAUCGUUCUGUGCAAGAUCAAGAGUAUACAAACUAGAGAGAUUUCCGAGUUGGGGAGGAAUUGGUCCGCUAAGAUUGGCACCUGCUAGUUUGAGUUGCUCCAAUCGACUCAAAGAACCGAUGAACUUGGGAAUUUGUCCUUGGAAAUGAUUGAAACUGAGGUCCAAGUAAGUUAGAUAUGGCAAUUCAAGUAGAGAAGGAGCAAUCACACCACUUAGAGGAGUUUCAACACUAUAAAUACCAAAAGAGUUGUGAUAGAGAUCUAGGGUGACGACAUGACCUGUUUCGUUAUUGCAAGCGAUUCCUCUCCACUCGCAACAAUCUUUGCCGGUUUCCCAAGAGGCAAGAACGUUGGACUUGUCGAUGAGGCCUUGUUUGAACUGAAGCAGGGCGGUUUUUUCUGUUUGUAAGCACCCGAUGUUGGAACUGAUUCCAGCACCCAAACAGCAUUUGGCAGAUGUAAGAGCAAACAAGACAGAAUAUAUGAUUGUGAGCAACAUGGUAUGUGAAAUGGUGAAUUGAAUUGUACGUGGAUUUGGGAGUGAAAAGCAAUAGAUGUUUUAUGGAUUGAUCCUUUGUUGUCGUUAUGUGGACGCUGAGAGAGAAAAGGUUGUAAAAAGGAAGAUGGAGUCGUAGAAAAACAAAGCAAAGUGGAGGAAAAGGAGGGUAAGAGUAAGACCAUCCUCAAUUUUGUGUUAAAAACUAAAAUUUUCAACUCAAAAAAAUUAGGUUUUAACUCCAAAAUUUUGGCCUGACAUUAUUAAAGAAUGAAUUUAGCGUAUUUUUUUCUCUUAAAGUAACUUCUUUUUAACAAAUUAUGUAGAUUAUUCUAAUUUAAUUUUAUGAACAUUUAACCUAAAAAUAUUUUGAUUCCAAUUGAAAAAUUACUAAACCAACACCAUGAAUGUAAAAUCCCGUUCCUGGAUUUCACUGUUAUAAUCUACGUAUUUAUAUUAUUGAGAUUUUAUAUUAUUUCUCGAGAAAUUAUUUUAAUUUGUUUGAAUUUAGAUUUUAAUUAAACUAGUUACAAAGUUUGAAGUUUGGAAUUAAUUAUUUAAAAUCCGUAAACCUUUUGAGGUCACAAUUUAUAUUUUUGAAUAGAUCUCGAAACCCCAAAUGUAUAGGCGAAAGCUGUUUGUGAGUCCGGAUUAUAACGGUAUAGUUACAGACGUUUGAAGUUGUGUUACUAAACUAUAGAUUUUAGAAAUUAUUUAAACUCCUACUUUGAAGGAAAAAAACGAAUGAGGUAUGUGCUUUUGUGGCCAAUCAGAAGUAAAGGUUGGAGGGAGGACCAAUCAGGAAAAAAAAAAAAAAAAAGGGAGCAACCAAUCAGAAAAGAAGGGGAAAGGAGAGGAAAAGAAAGGGGGGGGUGGGGAGAAAACCGGGUCUCAUGACCCGUGCGACCUAACCGGUGGAAGCCAUGAAAUCUGGUGGCCUCCAAGCCAAUUUCCGACGAGUUGAAGCGCCUCACCACCUGGAAUUCAUUUCCCAUCAUCCCUUCUACUCAUUCCACCCCAAAUUGGAGGAAAAUUGGCCCCGAAAUGGUGAACACCUGCACGGAGUGCGACGAGCUCGUGGUGGCGAUCCACCAAAAUUUGAAUGUAACUGUGACCACCACCAAUAGACUCCCCUUAACCUCAUGAACAAAGCCCAUGCAUUGUUUGGGAAGUCAGAGCUGUUAUGGAGUCAAAUUGAGGACACCCAAAUUCUAGGGUUUCGCCAGGUUUAUGGCGUUUUAAGGCUUUUUUCGGCCAAAUUAGACUUGGCCACAGGCAUUGAUUUUACAUGUGACAGGUCUAGAUAGAUUACGAGAAACCGCUUGAUAUUUUAGAUUCCGUUGAGUGGUCUAGAAUCAUUGCUCUUGCUCAUUUCCAUAAAGUUAGUCUAGAACCCAAGAUUCGAGUGAAUGGGAAUUACCUAUACUAGACCUUGUGAAUAUAAAUUAAAUUUACCAUGUUUAUUACUUAUAAUCCAAUUAGGGAAUUAUAUUGGGUUCUUUAACUAGAUUCAUAAAUGAUAUGUUAUCGCAUUGUUUGAUUAACGUAGUUAAAUGCUAAGAUCAUGCAUCUUUAAUUCAUGAAUUGUUUAAUUUACAGGAUUGUGAAAUGACGUUGAAUAUGAUUGUUAUUAUUAUUAUAAUUAUUUUAGUUGAUCAAGGUAGCUUGAGAUUAAUAUUAUGCUUCGUUGUUAUUUAAUAUGUUACAUGCUGUGGAUGUAUCAUGUUGAAGAUAAAGUGAAUUGUGUGAUAAUUGUUCGAGUGUAAUGUAUGACGAACUACGAAUGGCUUGAUCCCUAUUGAGGGUACGUAGGCAGUCUAACGAGGAGGUUAGAUGCAGUCAUAAAGUAUACGAAAAAUCACUACGAAGUUCGAUUCUGGAGAUGUAAUUUUCCAUAUUCUGGUGGUGGAAUAAUUAAGUUUGAGAUACGAGUUUUGGUGACAUCACGUGUCGAUCCUGGGCGUAUGUCGGGAUCGAGAUGUGACAAUGAAACUCAUGGAACACUAUGAAAGAAUAUGAAACACAUAAAAGAAUUUUUUUUUUAAAUUAUUUUAGUUGUUGGAUUUAAAUUUGGAUCGUUAGAUUUGAUCAUAUUAGAUUUUAACUGUUGGAUUCGGUGAAUUCAUAAACAUAAAACUACAAAAAAAAUACACAUAUAUGGUGGGCCAGCCCACUAACUCGAGGGGAAUCCUAGGGUAAAUAUGCCCCAAAAAUGAGUUUUGGGUUAAAACUCAUAUUUGGCUCGAGGGUUAGAGCAAAUUGGGGUAGGUUUAGAAUAUAAAAUUUGAGUUUUAUUCCCAAAGGUUGGAGUAGGUCUAUGUGGAAAGGAGGAAAAGGUGGAAAGGAGGAAAAGUGGUAGAGAAAAUGAGGGAAAGUGGUAGAGAAAAGAGGAUGAGGUUCCUCUCCGAAUCCUCUUUAUGAUCUUCACAUCUCAUCUAUUUAUCAAACAUCGUGUGGUUAGAUAUCAUUACGUACUGUUUGUGUUUAAUUUUAAAUAAAAAAUUUCAAAAUAAUUUUUGGUUGCACGAUGUACGAUUAACAAAUAAGAUGUAAGAUCCUCACAAAGAGGAUCCAUAUGAGAUCCAAAUCUGAGAAAAGGGGAAUAGGAUCUUAUCCGGAUCCCUUUUGUGAAGAUCUCGGGAAUCACUUCAUAGUAUCCUUUUAUUUAUCAUCUUGCGGCUAGAAAUUAUUUUUGAAUUUUUUUUAUUUAAAAUUGAACACAAAUAAUAUCUGAUAAAAAUUAAUCACAUGACAAAAUUAUCCCUGAGAUCCUCCUCAUCCGAGAAAAUGUGGGAAAGUGGUAGGGAAAAGGUGGGAAAGGGUGGGUGGAGGUAAAAGGUGGAAAGGAGGUAAAGUGGUCGAGAAAAUGAGGGAAAGUGGUAGAGAAAAGGUGGAAAAAGGGAUUGGAAGAAGAAGAGAAAGGUGGUGGGGGCAUGGAAUGGAUGGUUGGAUUCUCUUUCCUUGUUUUUUUUCCCACUCAUUUUCUCAUUUCUUAUUUGAACGGUCGCGGUUAAGCCACGUCAACAUCUUGUAUUAAUUUUAUAUAUAAAGAGAAAAAUAAAAUAGAAAAUGUGAGAGUACGGAAUUGAAGGGGAUGGAAAGAGAAGGGAAGAGAAUCCUAGUCCACUCCGAGAAUGUAAGCACAUUUUACUGAACCUUGUAAAUAUUGUAUUCCAUUUAUAUUUUCUUACUGUUGAUUAUAUUUCAUAUAGCCUUCUCGAAAUCUUUUAUAAUACAGACCAUUAGAUAAGAUGAACUAGAGAAUUACAUGAAAUUGCACUUGGAAUAUUAAGCAGCUGGGACUAGUAAACCAUAAUAAAUUAAUAAUUGAACAUUCAGGCCAAAAAACAAGGGGAUGAACAUUGGUAUAUAAUGUGAUAGAAUUGCUCCAAAAUCUUCAUCAGUUGUCCAACUUCUACAAUCCGGAAAUCGAUAGCCGGGGGCAACUGUGGGACCACUAUUUGUAGGAUGAUGCCCCACGCGGCAUCUAAUAAGGUCCAACAGUCCGGAGGUGACCUUCCCUGUCCACAGGAGUCCCUUACACAAUGUACACACAUAUCACUAAUCCAAAUUCUACUGCAGGUUUAAGAAAAAUGGAUGAUUUCACCACUUCGGUACUCAGCACGGUGAAACCUGAUCAUGCUGCUGUAACUAUACAUAAUCUCUGACAUUCAUGCGACAACGGAUAAUGGUGUAACAACUCCAGCAGAGUCAGAAACCAAACCGUCCUUCGAUACUCCAGCACGGUGAAACCUGACCGUGCUGCAAUCUCAGUCAUCAUCUUCAUCAUCAAGUACCAUCCUUGACCUCCUUCUGCUUACACCACUCACUGGCAAUGUACCUACUUCAUCCUCUUAAUCUGCCAAAUCAGUGUCCAUUUCCAGACGUAGCAAAUCCUCCAAAAUUUUCACAGGUCCAACAUCUAAUGGAUUACCAUUGCUGGUGCCUGUGACUUUUGUUCUCUGCCAUUCAGACUCGCACGUUCGGCAGCAGCACCUUUGUCAACUCCAUUUUCCAAAACACUGCCGCUUUCUGUUCCCUGAAUCAAGACGGCUUCGGGGUUUUGAUCCAUGGACUUGGAAAGGGAUCGCCUAGUUUUCCUACAUCCAAAAGACAAUUUGAUUAGAAAAAUGGCUACCUUACAUACACAAUCAGAAUGCAAUGACUAUAGUUAUUCGAAUUCUUCUUUUUCGUUUUUUUCUCAGGGGGAGGUUUGAGGAUGGAGAGAGGGAAGAGAUUUACUUAAGAACAGAGCUUAGGAUUUCAUCAUCAGAAUCAUCUUCCAACGCUUCUCGCCCAGUAGUCUGUUCUAGCAACUCGUCGCUAUUAUCCUUCUUGUCCCUAGAAGUUCAAACAAAAAGUUGUCAGACAUAGGUAUUUACACAUCUAUGUAUGCAUGCGAGUGUAAAGAUGGAACCAAAUACACAUUCCUACAAGUUAAUUCGGAAUAUGGAAACCGAACUGAAUAAUGAAUUUAAUAACCUUAUAUUGUAAGGUUUACGUAAAGAUAUUGGAGUCUGACAUAUGCAGUAAAAACGCCAAAACAGUGAAAACUAAGAUGGACAUACUAAUCAUUGACAUUUACCUUUUCAUUCAUUAAUGAAAAUAGUGUUUCAUCAUCAGAGUCGUGCAUUUUGUUUGCAUUAGAGUCACUAUGAUCCUCAUCCUUCAGCAUGCCACGUGAAGGCCUCUUCUUCCGAGGAAUAUGCAAACCAAGCUGCUUAAGCUUACGAGAAACUUGAGGAGCUGUGAAUUUCCCAUCUCCAUCCAUCGCAUUUGCAAUCAUAUGGCUGCACUUCUUAUGGCCUUUAAAUCUGGGAAGAUCAAAGAAAGCAAAUUUUUCUUUAAAACAAUAUAAUAGUAAACUUCCAUUAUCUACUUUUCUUUGGUAAUCCUUCACCAUUUAUCAAGUGAGAAGAUGUCAAAUCUCAUAUUUCCACCAAGCCACCAAGUAAUACUCACUGCUCAUACAAAGCUCUGAUAUUAGCUUCCUGAUCUUCACUGAGGGCACGGACCCUUUUUCUUGCUCGCCUAUAAAAAUAUUAAGGUCAAAUUAAUUAACAGCUGAGCAGUGAAGCAACACAAACAAAACCAGCAUGCAUUACGAUUUGCCAUGAAAUUAAUGGCUAAUUGACAAAACACUCACAAAGGCUGGCUUUUUGAUUCAGAAUGAGUGUUAACUGCUCCCUCUACUCUUCCAUCUCCAUCAAUUUGACUAGGCCCAGUGGAACAGAUUCCUGAGCUUUCCGAAUUCUUUUCCUUCGUGCAACUUUCAGCCCUAGCUGUUUAAGCUUGUUAGAAAUUUGAGCUGAUGAAACUUUACCAUCAGGAUCAAGAGCUUCCGCAAUAAGAUGACUACAAUUCUGGUCAUCCUUGAAUCUAGAUUGACCAUAUUUGUUAGGAAAGAUUUCAGUAAAGCAGGAUGAAAAAAGUAGGUUACACUGCAAAAACAAUAUUGGCACAACUCAAAUUAUGCACACGUCAUGGCCAAUGCUUUUUAUAUUAUUAUGUUUCGGCUGAUAUCAGGUGUACUAUGCCGGGUUAAAGGCUCAAGAAAGAAUCUUAGAUCAAGGAACCAUACUUCUCAUACAGAUCCUUAAUUUUCAUCUCCAGUUCAGCUCCAAUAACAAGUCGCUUGUUUUCUCUAGAAACCCUCUCAGUUUCAUUCUCUAUGGACUUUCCCUCACUGCAACAGUCGAAUGCAUCAAGGUCUCAUUAAGAUGACAAUUUAUAAACAAUAUUAAUCAUUAAGUUGUAAGUAUAAAGGACGUACUUGUCAUAAUUAGCUUGCCCAUCAGUCUCAUUAUCCGAAAUAUAUGCAGUACCUCCCUCCGCUUUGCCAGACUUUUCUCCAUCACUGUAAGAAAUAAGAAGGCAUAUUCGUUAGCUCCUCUUGCAGUAUCUCAUCCAUGUUGUGCUAGGAUAGCACCAAACCCGUUGGAACCAACUCAAGCUAACCCACAAGAAAUUUAUCAAAUGAAAAUGCAAGAACAAAAUAUAAAAGACACCAAGAUUUAACGAGGUUCCUCAACAGUCAGUGUAAUUGGAGUACGUCCUCGGAGCAGUAGGAGCUCACCCAAUAAUCCACUAUCAACCAAAUGGGAGUUUACAAAGUGUUGGCAAUCUCACACCCAAAUAACCCAAUACACCUAAUAGCUCUCACACACCACAUAAACAAAUAGAGAAAGAAAUAUAAUGAAUAAUUUCUUCUCUAUACAUAUAACUCAAAGCUAUUACAACAACAACUACUUUGGUAGAUGAUUACUAACCAAAUAGAAGAGCACCUUCUUCUUCUUUUCUGCUCUUAAUUUUCUGCUCUCUGCAGCUCACUUUGCUCUCUCAAAGAUGGGCUACUAAAACAGAAAAAAUGGUGCAAACUUCCUUCCUCUCUCUUACCUCCGUAUGCACACAUUCAUCCAUUAUAAACACCCAAUAAACAAAACCAAAGUAAAGACAUAAUGAUUACUUUACAAACAUCAUCAUGACCUUCUUUUUUUCUUUUCAACAAACAUAAUCAUUUGUCUUUUUCUUUCUUUUGCCUUGUUUAAUAGCCGAAAGUUGUUUGGCCAUAAUUCAACAAUCUCCACUUUGGCCAAAUUCCGAAAACACCAUGAUAAGCCAACCAACACAAUCAACACAAAAAUCACUCCCAAACACUAGCAAGAGAACAACUCAUGUCGAGCCAAAUGCUCCAAAACUCCUACUGCUCAACGCAUUCUUUAUAUAGGCAUAAUGUGAGCCAAGUUCAAACAGUGAACAAACUUGGCUACACCAACAACCUUAGUCACAUAUCAGCGGGGUUGUCUUUAGUUGGAAUCUUUUGGAUAAUGAUUUCCCCUUCACCAACAAUUUCACGAACAAAGUGAUAACGCACAUCUAUGUGCUUGGUCCUUGCAUGAUGAACCUGAUACUUAGCCAAAUAAAUGGCACUCUGACUAUCACAAUGUACCUCCACCUGUUUCUGAUCGACCCCCAAAUCUCUAAUCAACCCAUGUAUCCAAAUGACCUCCUUUAUAGCUUCAUCAACUGCCAUAUAUUCAGCCUCUGUAGUAGACAAGGCAACAUACGACUGCAAAAUGGACCUUCAACAAACUGGUCCUUUAGCCAUAGUAAACACAUAGCCUGUAGUAGACUUCCUUCCAUCCAGAUCACCUGCAUAAUCUGAAUCAACAUAACCAACUGCAAAAUGACCAAUACCAGAGUCAUCCCUCUCAAAGCAUAAACCAACAUCUCGAGUACCAUGGAGAUACCUCAAUAUCCACUUAGCUGUUUGCCAAUGCUCUUUACCUGGAUUAUGCAUAUAUUGACUCACCAUACCAACUGCAUGAGCAAUAUCCGGUCUAGAGCAUACCAUUGCAUACAUCAAACUACCAACCAAAUUUGCAUAUGGUAUAUUUUUCAUUUGCAACUUCUCUUUAUCAGUUUUAGGACAUUGUAGAGAACUCAAUUUAAAAUGAGAAACCAAAGGGGGUACUAACUGGUUUGGUUGAAUCAUGAACUCUAAACUUCCGAAUCAACUUCUCAAGGUAUUGUCUUUGAUUCAAUCUGACCAAACCCCUCGCUCUAUCUCUAGUGAUCUCUAUCUUCUUCGCUUCACCAAGAUCCUUCAUCAAACUCAUUCUUCAUUUGCUUCUUCAAUUUCUCAAUCUCUUCAACAUUCUUUGAGGCAAUCAACAUAUCAUCAACAUAUAUCAACAAAUAAAUGAAAGACCCAUCUUGCAACUUCUUGAAGUACACACAAUGAUCAUAUUGACUUCUAGAAUAAUUUUGGCCUCUCAUAAAUUUAUCAAACCUCAAAUACCAUUGUCUUGGAGAUUGCUUCAAGCCAUAAAGUGAUUUCUUCAAUUUGCAAAACAAAUUCUCCUUCCCUUUCACUGUAUACCCAUCCGGUUGACACAUAUAGAUCUAUUCAUUCAAAUCACCAUGUAGGAAAGCCGUCUUCACAUCAAGUUGCACAAGCUCAAGAUCAUACUGUGCAACAAGAGCUAACAUAAUGCGAAUUGAGGAAUGCUUCACAACUGGAGAAAAGAUUUCAUUGUAGUCAAUGCCCUCCUUUUGUGUAUACCCUUUAGCAACUAAUAUUGCUUUGAAUCUCACAUUGCUUUUCUCAUCAGCAUCAUCCUUCUUGGCAUACACCCAUUUGCAACCGAUAGCUUUCUUGCCCUUAGGCAAUUUAGCUAACUCCCAAGUCUUGUUCUUCAAGAAAGAAUUCAUCUCAUCACCCAUGGCAUUGCACCACAUCUCCUUCUCCUCACUCUCAAUGGCUUCUUCGAAGUUGGAUGGAAUAUCAUCAGUAAUAAUAGGAAGAGCAAAAGCAACAUAGUCACUAUACCGAGCUGGCUUGGUAAUUUGCCUCUUUCUUCUGUUCUUGGCAAUAGACUCUUGAGGUGAAACUUGCUCUUCAACUUGAAUAGAAUCUUCAGGUUCAAAUUCUUCAACAUCCUCAUGGUCUCUAACUUCUUCACUUGUAGUGGCUUCAACAUCAGCGGAAAUAGGAUUUGAAGUACCAGAGGCAACUUUCUCAAGCUCCACCUGUUGGACAUCUUUCACAUUCUUCUCAGAGUCUUUGUACAUACUUUCUUCAUCAAAUGUCACAUCUCUGCUGAUUACAAGUUUUUUCAUCUCUGGGCACCACAACCUGUAACCUUUGACACCACUACUAAAACCAAGAAAGAUAGCCUUUUUGGCUCUAGGAUCAAGUUUAUUUUCAGUCACAUGAAAAUAAGCAGGUGAACCAAAAAUACAGAUAUAGUCAUAAUCAGAAGAAGGUUUUCCAGUCCAUACCUCCAUUGGUGUCUUACCCUGAACAACAGCUGAGGGUAACCGGUUGAUGAUGUGACAUGCAUAAUUAACUGUCUCUGCCCAAAAUGACUUGCUUAAACCCGACUGAGACAACAUACAUCUAACCUUCUCAAGCAAGGUUCAAUUCAAUCUUUCUGCAACUCCAUUUUAUUGUGGAGUUCCUCGAACAUUGAAAUGUCUCACAAUUCCUUCCUCUUUGCAAACUUUAAAGAAAUGAUAUGAUGUGUAUUCACCACCAUUACCCAAUCUCAAAAUCUUAAUCUUUCUCCGGGUCUGGUUCUCAAACAUUUUCUUCCAACCCAAGAAAAUGCUUAACACCUCACUCUUGUGCUUCAUAGUGUAGACCCAAGACCUUCUUGAAUAAUCAUCAACAAAGGUCACGAACCAAUGUCUACCACUCAAAGAGGGAGUCUUUGUAGGACCCCAAACAUCUGAAUGCACAUAAUCAAGAAUGCCCUUCGUCUGAUGUACAACAGUACCAAACUUCACUCUAGUUUGCUUCCCCAAGACACAAUGCUCGCAGAAAUCAAGCUUACAAGUCGUGGCACCUUUUAGAAGACCUUGUUUCACAAGCCCUUGUAGAGCUUUCUCACAGGCAUGGCCUAAUCUCAUAUGCCACAGUCUAGUAGUAUCAGAAUUGGAUGUGCCCAUAUUUUCUGAGACUACAGAUGCUUCACCUGUCACAGUGCUUCCUUGCAAUAAAUACAAAUGGCCACAUCGAGGAGCUUUCAUCACAACAAGUGCACCAUAAGUAACUUUCAAUGUCUGUCCAUCUGAAUGAAACCUGAAGCCCUUGGAUUCCAAAGUACCCAAAGAAAUAAGAUUUUUCUUCAAAUUCGGUACAUACCAAACACCUGUCAACUCUUUAACCAUGCCAUCAUGCAACUUCAAACGAACUGUACCAAUCCCUUUUGUUGUGCAAGGAUUGUCAUCUCCCAUGAACACAACACCACCAUCAAACUCUUUCAAGCUUGAAAACCAAUCCUUGUGAGGAGUCAUAUGAUGAGUACAACCCGUAUCCAACACCCACUUAGUAGCACAAUCAAAUGAUGAGGAAGUGGUUAAAGCAAAAUCAGAAAAAUUUGUUUCAACCUCAGCAACAUUAGCUUCAGAACUUUAUUUGCCUUUGGUCUUCAAUCUAGGACAAUCUUUCUUCCAAUGGCCCUUAUUACGACAAAAGGCACAUUCAUCCAUUUCCAAAGGUUUUCUACCUUUAGAGUUUCCUCUAGGUUGAGACUGUGAUUUUUUCCUACUAGAAGAUGAUCUUCUCUCCGAUGAUCUACCUCUAACAAAUAAAGCUUCAGAGGUACUAUCAUGAUUUUUAUCUCUAUGCCUCAUUUCAUAAUUCAUCAAGGCAUUUGACACAUCUUCAAAUUUCACAGUUUCUUUACCAUGCAUAAUAGUGGUAACAAAAUGCUCAUAAGAGUCUGGUAAGGAAUUCAACAAUAUUAAGGCCUUAUCUUCAUCCUUAAUAUCCUCAUCUAAAUUUAAUAAGUCGACAAUCAACUUAUUAAAAGCAUCAAGGUGUCUAAUCAUUUUUGUACCUUCUUUGUAUUGGAAGUGGUAGAGCUUUUUCUUCAAGUGUAGCCGGUCUCUGCACUCUUUGUCAUAUACUUGUCUUCCAAUUUUUGCCACAACACACUUGCUAAUGUCUCCCGUAUCACAAAAUACUUUUGAGUUUUUGCAAGGCACAAUCGAAUUGAAGAGCAAGCCCACAAAUUUAAUUUCUCCCAUUCUGGCUUCGACAUAACUUCUGGCUUCUCUCCCAAAGCGGCAAGUAGAUCUUGUUGAGCUAACACAUCUUUGACCUCACAUUGCCACAUCCCGAAGUUAUUUGUGCCAUCAAACUUUUCCACUUCGAACUUUACAUUUUACACCGUAGUUCUUGCAAACCCGGAGCUGCUUCCAAAAUGAUUCUCAUCUUGCCCGUCUGACAUCUUUGGCAACUAGACAGUACCCAAGAGCAACCAGUGCUCUGAUACCAAUUGUUGUGCUAGGAUAGCACCAAACCCGUUGGAACCAACUCAAGCUAACCCACAGGAAAUUUAUCAAAUGAAAAUGCAAGAACAAAAUAUAAAAGACACCAAGAUUUAACGAGGUUCCUCAACAGUUAGUGUAACUGGAGUACGUCCUCGGAGUAGUAGGAGCUCACCCAAUAAUCCACUAUCAACCAAAUGGGAGUUUACAAAGUGUUGGCAAUCUCACAACCCAAAUAACCCAAUACACCCAAUAGCUCUCACACACCACAUAAACAAAUAGAGAAAGAAAUAUAAUGAAUAAUUUCUUCUCUAUACAUAUAGCUCAAAGCUAUUACAACAAUAACUACUUUGGUGGAUGAUUACUAACCAAAUAGAAGAGCACCUUCUUCUUCUUUUUUGCUCUCAAUUUUAUGCUCUCUGCAGCUCACUUUGCUCUCUCAAAGAUGGGCUACUAAAACAGAAAAAAUGGUGCACACUUUCUUCCUCUCUCUUACCUCCAUAUGCACACAUUCAUCCAUUAUAAACACCCAAUAAACAAAACCAAAGUAAAGACAUAAUGAUUACUUUACAAACGUCAUCAUGACCUUUCUUUUUUCUUUUCAACAAACAUAAUCAUUUGUCUUUUUCUUUCUUUUGAUUUGUUUAAUAGCCGAAAGUUGUUUGGCCAUAAUUCAACAAUCCAUUCAGAAAAUUCCGUACUUUUUUUUGUCCCUUUGGUAAACUUGUUUCACAAAAUUCAUUCAUAUAUCACAAUUUCCCGCUUAAUAGAGGCAUCAGAAACAUGUCUUACUUCUCAUAUCCAAGGUCAUGAGAGAGCACGACAUCAGCUUCAUCUUCACCAAGUGCAUCUGCUAUGCUUCUACUUGUCCAUCCUUUGUCCAGUGAUUGACCAAUUUCAUCAUUCCCUAAACUGUUUGCCCAGUUUCUAGUUUCUUUCUUCAAAUGGCCAAGCUCUUGCAAUAAAUACUCAGCAUUAAUGUAAUGGCAUUCUUUGCGAGUUUUCCAGAAGAGAACUUCCACAAAAAGUAGGGGUUGAUUUUUCAUUUUUUAAAGCAUUUUUCUGACUAAACUUUUCAAAAAAUCGACAAUAUUUUCAUACACCUUGCAUGGACAUGACUUCUGCUCAGCUAGAAUGCCAUAGAAUGUAGUGAGGAGUGAUAACUGCAAAAGUUUUUCCAUGAAAACUUCAGAGGAGAAAUGAACUUGAAAUGGGUGCUUAAAAUUAUAUAAGGUUGAUACAUAAAGUUUGACCUGAUACAACAUCGGAGAGAGCCCCAGGUCAUCACUUAUCCUUCGCAGCAUGCUGACUACGUAGUGAUUUGUACUGGUCGAGUUACUCUUAUAAACUUAAGCAACCAACACAACUUCUGGAUGAUGCUGUGGCUUGCAAAAGCAGAAAUCAAAGUUGACACCUUAAAAUCAACUUCAUCAGUUGCAGCUACCUGCUCAUCAGCAGAAGAAUCGCCUGUGCUAUAACCAAGAUCACCAUUGGCAUAGUCAGAAUCUCUGCGAUCGAUCCGUGCCAGGCUGUCUUCAAUUUUUUCUGUCUCCAACAAAGAUAUUUUGCAUUCAUCAGGCUGAUCAGGGAUAAUGGUGUCUUCUUUCCCAUCAGAAAUUGUGUUUAGGCUUCUGUUCUCCGUCACACACACUCACAUCUGUUGAUUGCUCUUCAUUGGAGAUUGCCAAUCUCUAUUUGAAUGGUAGCAUGUUCUCCUAAGAGUUUAUUUUCUGUUUCCUUCUCAAUCGGUGUUUUCUUCUUCCUCACUUUCCUAGAUUUUUUAGAAACCUUAAUCAUAAAAGGAAAUUGGUUUUAGUAGUGACUCUUUUUGUUUUUCCAAAUUGUUUUAAGUAGAGAGACAAUAAUAUUUGCCCCCUUUCCCCCUUCCAAAAUUAUGAAUGCUACAUACCCUCAAAGUUCCCUCUGCUUGAAGGUUUAUGAGGAAUCUGCUGGCAACAACUUAAGCACCAAAUCUAGCAUGCGAAUCUGGUUAGUCAAUAACCUGCAUAGAGCUUUUUAGAUAUGGCAACUUAGUAUGUGUCCUUCUAAUGGGCCCCUAAAGUGCAAUUGGUCCCUUUAAAAACUAUGUCCUUCUAAUGGGCCAGCUGGGCUUGGGUUCCAAGGCCCAAAGGCCUAGGUCCGUUGGUUUUGGGUUUUUAAAUAAAUAAAUAAAGAAAGAAAAGGGUUGGGUUUGGGAUUCAACAAGUUUGGGCUCGGGGUUUCACGGGCCUAAGGUCCGAUUCUAAUUGGCCCAAAGGCCUAAAUGACAAGGGCUUGUAUUCGGCUGCCCUAAGGUUUGGGCUCGGAUGCAGCGGCCCAAAGGCCCUGGUUUGCUUGUUUUCGCCGGGGAUGGAAGCCGGACAACACGAAGGAGAAAGCCAUCCAGUCAGGAAGGACGGACAAAGUUUUGGAGUUCUUUGGAACGAAUGGGAAUGAUUUGUUGCCAAGGGGCGAGGAUUGGACUGCAUGGUUUGGUGGGUUUGUCUUUUCGUCUUUCUAUUUUGGUAUGAUGAAGCUACUGUCUUUCGUUGAUUUACCUUUUUCAUAUGUAAAGAAACCAAACUCUGAUCCUGAGUUUCGUAUAUACUUUUCAAAGGAAUGGUACGAGGCCUUGCGUUUAUCUGUGAGGAAUUUCUUUAGUGAGAUCUUCAAUGGUACUCAUAUCCUUCAAAAUUGUUUUUUAUUUACAUUUUUGUAUAUGUUGCGUCCAACUCCAUAGACUUUUGAUGUUAUCAGAAUUUCAUAGCUACCAUACGAAAACCAGUUUUGUUUGUACCAACCAUGCUCUAAUUUAUUUUGAGUUUGUAUAUUUCAAGUGAAAACGAGGUUAGUUUUGCAUUGGCUUUCAGAAUCUUGGUUCCAGCAGGAAGCCAUUUCCGCAAGAAUUGAUGGGGAAGGCAUGGUUGUGUGUGUGCAGUUUGUGGGGUUACCCGGUCAGGAAUGGGUUACUGAGGUAGGUAUGGAAGAGUUUUGACUUCUCUGUUUCCUCCCUUGAUUCAACAGGUAAUGCACUGUUUCCUCCCUUGAUCCUAUUAUGCUUUUGCUGCUGUAUUUUGAGUUUGAAGAAAAUGCCCUUAACUAAACCACGCAUGCCAGCCCUUUUGAAAAUCAGUUCAGAGAAGACUACUGUCAACCGUCUGAAAAAAGACAUCAAGCUACUCAAUCUCAAGCUGUCAGAACUUCAGGCUUUGUUGGAGGAAAAAGAUGGUGAAUUAUGCCAGUUAAGAAGGUAAAGUUUUUCAUUGUUUCAGCCCUUUAGAGUUGAGAGUGCCACGUUUUAUAUGUUGUAUAUACUUGGUGCUGGGGUUCGUCAGUAUUUUGAGACUAUCAUGUUUUUCUCUCUUCCUUAUUCCUUUAUUUCAUUUUUGAAAAUCAGUAAUUGUUCAUCAGUAGCCUAUGCAAGCACUGAACGAACCAGGAGUUCAUCAAGUGUAGUGCAUGAGCAAAAUCGUCUUAUAUCUAAAGAUACUCAGGAAACUUGCCCUCCUGAUACUUUUCAAAUAGGGGAAGCAGAGGUGGAUCCAGAUUGGGUUGUUGCUGGAAACAUGAGAAGUAGACCAGAAUUUAGCACAUCUAAGUCGGAUCCUAAUUUAAGUUCUCAAUCAAGUCCUCGCGUGAUAGUAUUCAGCAGUUCGAGGAUGGCCCUAUAAUGGUAGGCAACUUCUAUGUCUGAAUUAUUUUUCCUUCGUGUGGUGGGGAUGGUUCAGUAGCUGUUAUGGAGAUUAUCUGUUAAGUAACUAUGGAAUAUGACUGCAGAAAAUGGCAGGGAAAGCCAUGUACAAGACUUCCCUGAAGUUAAGGUUAAGGUUGACUUCCAGGUAAAUUUCUUCUAAGGCAUGAUUGGAUCUUGAUGCUAUUCAAUUCGUUGUGCUUUUGUAGUUUUCUUGCUCCCUUUUUUCUGGUACUUUUCUUCAGCUUCAGUUGUUUAUGUUUUAUUGGAGACUCCAUAACUUUCAGAUCAUCGUUGCUUUUAGGAGACAUUUUUGGGCCACACAAGUCCAAUAACCAGGUUGAUCUCUCACUCUUUUCUCCAUACGUGUGUCUGAGUGGCUUCGUUGUGUAUAGCAUUUCCUGAUUCUCGUGUUUCGAAGAUCCAGGUGAUGCACUGAUCUUUUGCCUUUGGAAGUGGCACUGUAGAAAUGAAUAGUGUUUCGAUAAUUACGUUUUUGCCCAUCACUGAUUACAAUCCAAUGUGGGCAUGGUUUAUUCUGAAGGGCAGUUUUGUCCUCUCCAAUUUGGGCGAGAUGGGGGGGUCAGCGGGCAGCUAUCAUUUGGUCCCUUUCGAUUAGGGUUUCGGGGAGGGCCUGCGAGAGACAGGGGGGGGGAGAGAGAGAGAGAGUCUGUAGGGUUUCGAAUGGGUUGGGUGGGUUAGAGACUUUCAUUUCCUGCUUUCUAAAGCUGCAGUGGGACUCGGUGAGCCCAUGCCGUCGGGAGAGUGAGAGCGAGCGAGCAGAGAGAGAAGAGAGACAGGGAGGGAGAGAGAUAGGGAUUUGGUGAGAGGAAGGCAUGCGGCUUGCAGGCAGACAGAGUCACAGGGGGUGUACGAUUGGAGGGAGAGGGAGAGGGCGCGAAAGAGAGAGUGGGAGAGGGAGGAGUAAGGAUCGCUCGCUGAGGGUUUCACAGUUGGGAGGCCAUGCUGAUGGAGAUGGAGAUAGAGAUAGGAGAGGGAGAGGGAGAGAGGGAGACGGAGACAGAGAGCGACAGAGAGAGAAGGAAAGGGAAGAGUGGGGAUCUCAGCGCCAUUGCUGCAGAUCCUUGAUCUUCUUCGAUCCCAUCUCCGUGUUCUUCUCAGCCUCUCACAGUCGCAGCAUCACUCGCCCACUCACUCACUCACUUACUCACUACAGGUACACCUCUUAAACUUUCGCUCACUCUCUCUCCACUGAAAUUUGAAGGUGAUUUUCCAACCCUAAAUUGAUAUAUUUCAUACCUUUAUUUUAUCUUGAUUUAUCUGGAAUUGAUAGCUGUUGAGGUAAUUAUUAAUCCAUACUUCCGAUUGUAAUUUUUCUUUUUUCUGUGUUCAGUAAGUUUGAUCAAAUGGGUUUCUUUGGACUUGCAUAAGUUGUGUAUAAUAUCGCUUCAAUCAUUUAUUGGCUUCCUUUUGUAUUAUUGAGUCUUGGGUUUUGCUGGAAAUUGUAUAAAUUUUGACCAAUUGCAUAAAUUAUUGAGCUUUUGUUUGGUAUUUUUAUGGCUACUGUGCUAAUUAGUUCAUACCCAAAAAGGAGCAGAUAAUUAACUGCUCUAAUCACUAAUUCCCCACUCUAAGAACUUGAGACCUUGGACUGAUAUUUAUUUCUGAGAUUUAUUAUUUAUUUUUGUAUAAAAUAUUUAAAGGUGUUAAACUUAUAGUGUAAUUAUAAAGUAUGGGUCUUUGAUUCCAUAUAAAUUGCUGUUUAUAUUUGUGAAUUCAAGAGGGGAGCAUUUACAUGUGGAGGCAACAAGGAGGGGUGGCUUUGAGAAGGUUGGGCUAUUUAUUUUAUCUGUAGUUCUUCAUUUCACUAAAUUAAAUAUGAAUUAUUAAUUUUUCAAUUUUUAAAAUGAAAGAUAAAAGAAAAUCAUAUGUACUUAAUUAUAUAUAUGUGUGUGUAUAGAUAGUUUCAGAGAAGAAAUGGAGGGAAGUGGGAGGUGUUUUCAUGUUCUCCCAACACAACAAGUGCUUCAUUUGUGCUAAGGAAACACUACUCAACCCUUCUCUGCCUUUACGAGCAGGUUCCUUCUCUCUCUCUGUAUUUCUUUGGUGCUUACGUACAUUAGUUCUAAUGAAUGUCUUUUCAUUAGGCUGAUGCUGAUGGCAACGGAACCGACCAUGAUGAGUUCAUCGCAGCAACAAUGCACUCGAACUGGAUGGAUAAACAUCUCUACACUACCUUCCAACACUUCGAUAAAAGGAGAGAUGUGAGAUUUUUGAAACCGUUUUCAUUUGGGUAAACUUAGUUUUCAUUUUUUGUGGUGUCUAUAGGGAGAUUAGUUUUCUGUCAAUUUUUUAUUGAGAUGUUUUUUUGGCAAUCUGUAGUUUUGGAUUUGUUUAUGUUUCGUGCUUUUGUGUAACUGAACUAGGGUUUAUUAAACUCAAUCACUUCCUUUUAUCCUCCUGCUUUGUUACGAUACAACUCAUGACGGUUUGUUUCUUUGAUUGUUAAUUUCAGAAGAGCAACUUUUUAUGGGACAAUGUGCCCUUUUUUUCUUAGAUAAACAGGCUUUUCACUAUCUUGCAUGCUUUGGCAACAAGGAUUAAUAAAACUGCACGUCUAUUAUAGAGAGAGAGAUAAAUGUAGGGAGAAGUUGGAAUUGGAGAGAGUGAGGGUGAGGGAGGGAUGACGUUGCUUUCCAAAGAUUUGUUUGGAAUUGUUUCUCCAGUUCUUUGUAUUUGUUUGGGAUUGUUUCUUUUUUACUGAAUUAUUUUGGUCCCUGCCGCUAAAAUCUGAUUCCUGCUAUUAAUUGCUGCUGAAAUAUGACUUUUGUUAUCAAUUUUUGACCUUUCAUAUUUAUGCUGCUUUGGGAUUCCAUUCGAAUCAAAUAAUGUAGUUAAUCUUGAUAUGAAUUCUCUCUGCAACAAUAUUAGGGACUUUAGUUUAAAUUAUCACUAAUUUGUUCUUGAUUUGGCAUUGAAUCUUGGUUAAUUUGGACUGCAGGUGGUUCUGAUAUAAAGGAGAAGCUGCAAGAGCUUAUGAUCUUGCUGCACUUAAGUACAACCGUUCUUUAACUCAUAUAAACUUUCCGGUAGGGUUCAAACUGUUAAGAGUUUUAUGAUUUUGUAAAAGCUUUAAGUAGCAGAAGCUUGGUCUAUUUGCAGUUGCAUUAUUACACUAUACAAAGCUAGCAGCAGCUUAACCCCAUUCACAAAUGCAUAUUUACUUUGUCCUUGGCGUCUACGCUUAUUGCUGUCACUUCUCCUUUGUACUCUUUCUCCUUUUUGAUGAAAUUACGGUCUGCCCUCAAUCUCCAACUUUCUUUUGCAGUUACACCCCUGUGCUCUCAUAGAGGGAAGCUCAUGGCUCACAGUGUCGCUUGGGCCAAUCUCGGCCUCACUCACCCUUCUGACAUCGAUGCCCCAAAGGUAUAUUUCUCUCAUCGCUUUCGGAAUCUAGUAUAUAUGUGUGUGUGUAUAUUUGCCAAUGGAAAUUUGUAAUUUUGAUUGUUCUCUGGUGUUGGUUUUGUGAAAAAUGUUGAAUGUGAAUGAUCAUUGUCUAAGGGGAACAUUAUAAUCCAAAGCUGUAACUUGAGUUUUGGAGUUAAACUCGAAAAAGCUUUAGUACUAAAUAUUAUCGUGUAUGAAUGUGAUUAUAAUCUAAAGCUGUAACUUGAGGUUUUGGAAUGAAACUCAAAAGAGCUUUAAUACUAGAUAUUAUUGUGUAUGAAUGUGAUACUUGAUCUUACUAUACACUGCAAAUAAGUGAUAAGAGAUGGUGAGCCCGUUUUAAGUGUCAUUUGUCUUCAGAAACUCAAAUUUUGACUCUUUUGUAUAUAUUGGUGGAAAUGCAGAAAUGGGUGCUCUUUGCCGCUGUCCUUAUUUUAUGUAUUCAGUUGCAUAGAGUCGACAUGACAUGCACAACGAUGGUCAGAUUGCCACCCUUGGUGGUAUUAUCUUUACAACACAUUCAAAUUGAGGAUUUAGAAAAUCUAAUAAUAAAACUCAAAUAUAUGUUCCAUGCUUUUUGUUUUCAUUUUGGGUGAAAAGGUUGGAGCUUUGGAUUGAGGUUUACCUUUAACCUAUAAUUUUGUGCGCAGGACAUCAUCUUGGGAGUCUUUAACAUAAUUAUUCUUCUAUUUCAUGGAUUCGAAAUGUGUUUAGUAUCUCAUUUAAUUGAUGUACCUUUGCUCAUUUAACUCAAAUUUAAUACGAUUUGCUCCUCCAAUUUCUCUGAAUUGCUAAUGGAAUUAUUUUCUUUGAAAAUUUUAGGAACUCUGGUUGUGGGAGGAAGAAGCCAGUUCCUUACUAUUUUUAGGUAAACUUAUAUGUGCCCUGAUUGCAUGUUCAAAGUCUAAUUAGUUAUAUAAAUUUUUUAUUUAUCUUUGCUAAGCUUUCGUACAUGGAUUUUAAAUAUGUGAUUGAAAUAUGGAUCAUAUUUUUGAAACUCUUUAUCUCAUUGUUUUUUGAGUAAUUUUUUGGAAGUGAGGUUGAAUACCAAUUGGUGGUCUCUGUCUGAGAUUUAGUUCUUUUUAAACACUCCUCAUAGGCCAUUAUGAUUGAUAGUUUAAUACGAUAGCAGAAAUGCAAAUUUGUGCUCCUUUAGUUUAUGUCUAUUAAGUCGCUUUUGGAAUUAACAAUUACCAUGCAUCCAAUUCUAGGACUUUAUAUUUACAUGUAGGGAGUCGGGUUUUUUGAUACAGAAUGUAAGUGACCCCACUUCACGUACUCUGAAAGUAUCUAAGCUUGGUAAUGAAUUUGACGGGCAUGUCUGAUGCCUUCUCAAACAUGAAUAGCCUGUGGGGUUUAAGAUUGAUAUCAAUUCCAAAUUAUGGAAUUGAUAUCAAAGGCAAAUUGUAAAAUUGAUAUCAAAGCCAAUAGUAAGUUUUUGGGGGCUUCUUGGUAUGAUAGUUAUGUCUGUUCUGUGUUUGUUUUCUUUCCGUCUGUUCUUAGAGCGUACUCCUUAUCCUUUGAUAUGUAAUUUGUGUUGGCUUAAAUGAAAGGUUUGUCUCUUCUCAAAAAUGAUGAAUCCGACAUGUUACUUUGUGGUCUUCUGAUUGCUCUUCUAUUUAAUAUCUUUUAAAUCCCACUGUGUGUUCAAAGUGCUGGAUGGGUUGUGCUUUUACCAACCCUAAUAAAAUUUUGUUUGAAUCAUGCUGUCUGAUAACUCUGUUUUUCUUUUCCUGUUUGUGGUUUUUAGUCUUUGUCAUUUAAUUGGUGUAGCUUUGCUAGGAUCUCUGUUCCGGCAGUGUGUGAUUAGUGCUAAUGGAAUUUCAGCACUGUUUCUGAACUAUUGUUCGAAUUGUUGUAUCUAAGUAUGCAUUAUACAUUCAAUUGAGCCAAUGAAGCAUGUGUGCCAACGAAUUUUGAAGAGUUCGGCUUGGUUUUCUCUCUUUGGUCUUUAAUAUUUAAGUGUGAGGCACCUGAUUGUUGACUAAUUGAGUCCCUUCUCUAAGUUUUUUAGUAGAUACUGUGUAAUUUGCUUUUAUGAGCACUUCUUUAUGCUGUCAAGUUCCCAAAAUGUACAAGGAGAUAUCAAGUUUAACAAGUCACGAACUGUGAUCAAUCCAAAUGCAGUGAAAUUAGGGAUUUUACACUUAAAAACUCAGUUAGCUUUAGACCAUAGGAUUAGCAUUUUGCACCUGUGAGUAUCAUUGACCUGCUCAUUUAAUUUUUUUGGAUAAGAAAUAAACUGUCAUUGAAGGGAGAAGAAAGUGUACAAAAUAAUGUUUCUGUAAGCUUGCACUCAUAUGCCUAAUAUUUUAAUUUCUUUUCUUGGCAUUACCUGUUGAAAUGGCUGCCUACACUACAAGACACAUAUUAUGUGUGAACUACAUGUUUUUUCUGUUUCUUAAGGAAAUAUAACUUUUUUGGAAACCAUAUCUUUCUAAUCAAAGACGUUCAGUUUCUUGCCACUCAUUGUACAAUGUGUUUAUAUGCCAGCUCACUUGAAUGUGUAUAAAAGCAAAACUGUUUUAUCUUAUUGAUCUCAUUCACUCAUGUAUCCCUCUAAUUGUUCAUAAUUGUGUUGAAUUUAUUCAACUUAAAUGUGUUUUAUUCAUCCGAUUACGCCUAAAACAGCUGGUUCCCGUAACAGGGUGUAAUUUCUAGUUGAAUCUAAAAGAACGAAAGUUGAGCCACUCGAAAUUUAUUGAAACUUAUAUGAUCGUUGUCGGAACCAUAUUACACACGGCUAGGACGCAACUUGGAUAGGAAUAUCUGACUCCGAGCCAAAACAUUCCAAAAUAUUUCGACCAAUUAGAAUCUGAAAUUCCGAAUCCGAAAAGAAAAAAAAUCAUAUGGGAAGAUCCGAUCCGAUUGAAAAUCAAGGACGCACAGCAUGACAGAGCAAUCUAUUAUACAUAAUUCCCUUUAGACAAACAAGAUAGUUGAUGACAAUUUAUAUCACCUUGCAUCAGAAUAAAAGAAAAAGAAGAAAACACUUCCGAUAUUACAUUGAAUCUAAAAGAACGAAAGUUGAGCCACUUGAAAUUUAAAUUUUAGAGUACGCUUCUGCCCCAACGAGAGCUACGGUAUUACUUCUCGUCGACUUUUUUUUAUUGAUGAUCCUUGUGGUUCCAUAUCUACAAAGUCAACAAAAAGUAUCUUAAAAUUAAAGGUAAAUAAAUAAAAAGCUUAAAAAUAAUGUUUCGGUAAUCUUCUACCGAAAUAUCUCAUUUAACUCAGAAAAUACAAACGAAUUUAACGGGUGGAGUUCGGAAGUACAUAACAAAUUAGGAGAGUAGGGCUUUACCGUUUACCUUUGAAAUCUCCCCUGCAGCUUUGCCUUCACAUGCAACGAUCUUCACAUAAUCCGAGCUUUUAUAUCAUCAAAGAACCGGAAAUAGGCAUACCUCCAAGACGUCUUAAGAACUAAAGUACCACAAACACUCCAGAAUCCUAUGAUAAAUCCAAGCGCCAAGCUAACAUAAAAUCCAAAGCUUAUGAGACCAUCAUCAUCUUGUUUGGUCUUCUCACUUCCACUGCCAUUAGGGACUGCAGGAUCUUCCGUUGUUACAGCUCCCGGGCAUUCUGGUGUGAGCGGUUGCCCGCAAAGUCCAAGAUUUCCCGUGAAUUGAGAAGCAUUAAAACUUUGAAGUUGAGUACUUAGGGGAAUUCUUCCUGAUAAGUUGUUGUAUGACAAGUCCAAGACACUAAGAUAAUGUAAGCUCGAAAAACUCGGAGGAAUGCUACCAGAUAUCUGGUUUCGUGACAAAUCAAGCGAUUCUAACAUCUCCAGCUGACCAAAGUUGUUAGGAAGCACCCCAGUAAAAUUGUUGCUUGACAGGUUCAGAGAAAUCAACUUCAACAAGCUUGUUACACUUUCUGGAAUGUCUCCGCUUAAUUUGUUGCUCGAAAUGUCAAUGCUUCUCAAAAGCUUAAGAUUUUCGCCAAACUCAAUCAAUAUUCCUUUCCAAACCAGUUGCACAAACCCAAAUACAGAGUCGUCCUCCACCUCGGGGGACAUCGAAGACAAAGCUGUUAUGUUAGGGAGGCAAUGGGGCAAGGCUCCGGAUAGAUUGUUCUUGGAGAAGUCCAAAACAUGAAGCGCAGGAAGACUGCAUAGACUUAAAGGUAUGUUUCCAUAAAACUCAUUCGACUUUAAUCGAAGAACCAGCAACUUUGUUAGGCUCGGGCCUAUCCAUGUCGGUAUCUUUCCAGAUAGCUUAUUGUCACCGAGGUCAAGAACUCUUAAUUCUGUACAGUUCUCCAAAGAAGGCAAUUCUCCCGAAAGUUUGUUAUCCUGUAAGCGUAACAAUACAACAUCUUUUAAGUAGCCUAAUGAGCUUGGAAUUUUC
Molecule: long non-coding RNA, 24357 nt
Filed under: Malus domestica (apple)
Lineage: Eukaryota; Viridiplantae; Streptophyta; Magnoliopsida; Rosales; Rosaceae
Description: long non-coding RNA (MDOM_LNC001222)
Source: RNAcentral